GAUUUUUGUAGCAAUAUUAUUUAUGAUUUAAUAUUUAGAAUAUUAGCAGCUGAAUAGCAGAAGGAACAUGAUUUGGGAAGUUGUUGGGCCAAUAUUUAAGCGCAUGAUGCGUAAGAAAUUGUUAAUAGUAAGAGAAAUCGGUCCUUUCAAUCGUAUCUAUGGUACAGCAGAUGCUUUUAUACUUUGCGCCGGCUCGCUUAUAGGCUACCAAUGUUACAGCUUUUCAGCGCACAUGGAAAAAUACGGAGACGGGGGGCUGUACUCUUUCGUCAUUUGCGGCAUAUUUUUAUCACCUAAUAUUUGGUCCUUUGCUGAGUUGCUGUCAAUCCUGCCUUGCCUUGGUGGCACUUUUCAUUUCACUUACUGUUUUACAAAUGAAUUCAUAGCAUUUAUGACCGGAUGGUUUACUAUACUCACCACUGGAUUUGGUGCUGCAGCACAACUGAAAGCCGCUGGUUCUAUAAUGGACGACACAUUUUUCAGUGGGCACAUGGCCAAUACAAUGAAAGACUUCAUGAACUUAGGUGAAAAAAGGUUUCUGUUGGACAGCGCUCCAGACUUUCUUGCGCUAUUUUUGAGCCUGAUAUUCUCCGGCAUAGUUUCGGCAAAUACGAGCGAGACAAAACUUCUGAAUUCAGCGUUGUACUUUAUAAACCAGUGCUGUCUGAUAUGUCUGACAAUUUUGUUCAUCGGUUACAUUGACUUUAACAACUGGAUCCCAUUCAAAUUGAACCAUUUGAUUGUGCUAACUAAUUCAUUUUUAAGCACUAGUGUUAUCUACUCAACAAUUCUUACAUUAGUUUUUUUAGGUGAGGAGGCAAUAAACCCAAGCAAAACUCUUCCUAAAGCACAUGUGUUGUCUUUUAUUUUUGGCCUUAUCCUUUUUUCUGUUUUUUCCCUGUUGAUAACACUCGUAUGGAACUACAGAGAAAUUGAAAGUUCAAAUUCAAUUCAGUCAAUUCUGAUAUAUUUGAAAUUAAAUGGGCUGACAUUCAUACCACUCAUCGGUGUCACUUGCUUUGUGUACAAUAGUCUCUUUAUCGACAUGUUUUCCCUGACAAGAGUUGUGUGUGCAAUGUCCAGAGAUGGCUUGCUGUACAGAGUUUUGUCAAGAGUCGAACACUUCAACAACAUGCCAGUCAAACCAUCUUUUAUAUGUGGAAUAGUUGCUGGUGUAGUCGCUAUGUUCGGAAGACAGACUACACUACGAGAAAUAGAAGCGAUUUCAUUUUUGAUGAUAAGUGCCAUGGCACCUGUUUGUACUUUAAGAAUGAGAACAUUUCAAAGGAAAAGUCUCAUCCCCACAUGGAAAACCCAGCCCAACCUGCGAUGUCAUCGUUUUAGUACUAAAAGUGUCAGUCAUGGGAAUGGCAGUGACGACCAGGCACAUACUCAACGAUUUCAUAAACAUACACUGGAUAUCAUGGAAAAUUUUGCCAUUGUUCCUUUUCACCGUUAGCAUGCUGAUAUCAAUGGUCUUUCUGAUUUUGCAGCCGAUGAAUGUCACACACAGUCCUUAUAGGGUAAGGUUGAUACCUUUUGUUCCAAUGCUCGACAUAUUCAUUCACUAUUUUGCCAUCGGUAACAUCGAGGCAAAGUUUUUAUAUUUUAUCAUUUUAUGGGCUCUUUUCGGUUUAAUUUUUUAUUUUACCUAUUCAAUAUGGCAUUCAAAAGAAGAAAUAUAAUUCUGAAAAUUGAAAAUUCCUAAGCAUUUUUGAUGUUAUUGGUUUUAAAUUAACUGAAGAAUCAGGCAGUAUAAUAAAACUGCAGCCGAACAAAUAUAUAAUAUGCA
RNAcentral lists this unclassified non-coding RNA (1792 nucleotides) under Cimex lectularius (bed bug). RNAcentral describes it as "probable cationic amino acid transporter, transcript variant X3". The record is from RNAcentral. Lineage: Eukaryota; Metazoa; Arthropoda; Insecta; Hemiptera; Cimicidae.